CUUUAUUAAUUAUAAAUUUAAUUUAKACUAAAUAUAAAAAUAUAUUUUUAAAAAAAAAAGACGACAAGRCCCUAUUAAAUUUAACUUAUGUUAAGCUGGGGAAGCUUAUUAAAUAAAAUUUUAAUUUUAAAUAAAAAAAAAUCUAAUAAAAUUAAAUUAAACAAAUUACUAUAGGGAUAACAGCGUUAUUUUAUUUAAAAGUUCAUAUUUAAAAUAAAGAUUGCGACCUCGAUGUUGAAUUAUAUUUCUAUGAUAAUGCAACAAUUACAUUAGUAGGUCUGUUCGACCUUUAAAAUAUUACAUGAUUUGAGUUCAAACCGGUGUAAACCAGGUUGGUUUCUAUCUUUUGAUAUUAUUUUUCUAGUACGAAAGGACAAAAAAAUAUUUAUUAUAAAUUUAUUUAGCAAAAUAUAUGCAUUAGAUUUAGAAUCUAAAAAAAAGUUAUAC
Molecule: ribosomal RNA, 447 nt
Filed under: Anelosimus kohi
Lineage: Eukaryota; Metazoa; Arthropoda; Arachnida; Araneae; Theridiidae
Description: partial 16S ribosomal RNA
Rfam family: Bacterial large subunit ribosomal RNA (bases 55-348)
Source: RNAcentral